UACAGAGGUCUCAAGCGUUGUUCGGAUUCAUUGGGCGUAAAGGGAGCGUAGGCGGCGGGGUUAGUCAGGUGUGAAAUCUCGGGGCUCAACCCCGAAACUGCACUUGAUACUGCCUUGCUAGAGUACUGGAGAGGAGAUUGGAAUUUACGGUGUAGCAGUGAAAUGCGUAGAUAUCGUAAGGAAGACCAGUGGCGAAGGCGAAUCUCUGGACAGUUACUGACACUGAGGCACGAAGGCCAGGGGAGCAAACGGG
RNAcentral lists this ribosomal RNA (253 nucleotides) under uncultured bacterium. RNAcentral's name for it is "partial 16S ribosomal RNA". It matches the Rfam family "Bacterial small subunit ribosomal RNA", at positions 524 to 776 of the family's 1533-position model. The record is from RNAcentral.